AACGAACGCUGGCGGAAGGUUGAACACAUGCAAGUCGAACGAGACCUUCGGGUCUAGUGGCGCACGGGUGCGUAACGCGUGGGAACCUGCCCUUAGGUUCGGAAUAACUCCCCGAAAGGGGUGCUAAUACCGGAUAAUGUCUUCGGACCAAAGAUUUAUCGCCUUUGGAUGGGCCCGCGUUGGAUUAGCUAGUUGGUAGGGUAAAAGCCUACCAAGGCGACGAUCCAUAGCUGGUCUGAGAGGAUGAUCAGCCACACUGGGACUGAGACACGGCCCAGACUCCUACGGGAGGCAGCAGUGGGGAAUAUUGGACAAUGGGCGAAAGCCUGAUCCAGCAAUGCCGCGUGAGUGAUGAAGGCCUUAGGGUUGUAAAGCUCUUUUACCCGGGAUGAUAAUGACAGUACCGGGAGAAUAAGCUCCGGCUAACUCCGUG
This 433-nucleotide ribosomal RNA is filed under the name uncultured bacterium. Its description in RNAcentral is "partial 16S ribosomal RNA". It matches the Rfam family "Bacterial small subunit ribosomal RNA", at positions 29 to 507 of the family's 1533-position model. The record is from RNAcentral.